CCUACGGGAGGCAGCAGUGGGGAAUAUUGCGCAAUGGGCGAAAGCCUGACGCAGCGACGCCGCGUGAGGGAUGAAGGUCUUCGGAUCGUAAACCUCUGUCAGCAGGGAAGAACGGUCACUGUGCUAAUCGGCAGUGAAUUGACGGUACCUGCAAAGGAAGCACCGGCUAACUCCGUGCCAGCAGCCGCGGUAAUACGGAGGGUGCGAGCGUUAAUCGGAAUUACUGGGCGUAAAGCGCUCGUAGGCGGUAUGUCAAGUCAAGGGUGAAAUCCCCGCGCUCAACGUGGGAACUGCCUUUGAAACUGGCAAACUGGAGUGUGUGAGAGGAUAGUGGAAUUCCAGGUGUAGGAGUGAAAGCCGUAGAUAUCUGGAGGAACAUCAGUGGCGAAGGCGACUAUCUGGCACAUAACUGACGCUGAGGAGCGAAAGCGUGGGUAGCAAACAGGAUUAGAUACCCCAGUAGUC
This 465-nucleotide ribosomal RNA is filed under the name uncultured bacterium. RNAcentral describes it as "partial 16S ribosomal RNA". It matches the Rfam family "Bacterial small subunit ribosomal RNA", at positions 338 to 795 of the family's 1533-position model. The record is from RNAcentral.